Molecule: transfer RNA, 75 nt
Filed under: Melanocharis versteri (Fan-tailed berrypecker)
Lineage: Eukaryota; Metazoa; Chordata; Aves; Passeriformes; Melanocharitidae
Description: tRNA-Asn
Source: RNAcentral
UAGACAGAGGCCUGUAGGUUUUGGGCGUAUAGCUGUUAACUAUAAGAGUCGUGGGAUCGAAGCCCAUCUGUCUAG